Long non-coding RNA from Xyrauchen texanus (razorback sucker), 150 nucleotides. RefSeq lists it as uncharacterized. The record is from RefSeq and is a predicted model, not a curated record. The transcript has 3 exons. Lineage: Eukaryota; Metazoa; Chordata; Actinopteri; Cypriniformes; Catostomidae.
AUGAUGCUGAUGAGAUUCUUUCAGGUUAGAAGACUGAAGUGAUGUUACAUUUUGCUUCAUACAUUUACUUCUAAAUCUGCAGUAGGAGACUCAUCUGAACAUUAUGAUGAUGUCAUCACCACUAAAGUCCCAAAAGAUGACAUACCAGAG